GACGAACCGUGCGAACGUUGUUCGGAAUCACUGGGCUUAAAGGGCGCGUAGGCGGCUUGGCAAGUGGAUGGUGAAAUCCCUCGGCUUAACCGAGGAACUGCCGUCCAAACUGCUUUGCUUGAGGCCGGGAGAGGCGAGUGGAAUUCCCAGUGUAGCGGUGAAAUGCGUAGAUAUUGGGAGGAACACCAGUGGCGAAGGCGGCUCGCUGGACCGGUUCUGACGCUGAUGCGCGAAAGCGUGGGGAGCAAACGGG
Molecule: ribosomal RNA, 253 nt
Filed under: uncultured bacterium
Lineage: Bacteria
Description: partial 16S ribosomal RNA
Rfam family: Bacterial small subunit ribosomal RNA
Source: RNAcentral